GUGGCUACAUCUUUUUCAUAUUCUGUUAUCUUGCUGCAUUCUUAGUAAGAGUAUGUUUCCGGCAUUUUUGUUAGCCUGAGUGUCUCUUGUAGGAGAAAAGCUCUUUGUAUCAGUGUUUUGUCUUCAGUGGAAUUUAGAGAACAGACACUACUGCUCCAUAGACUCCCAUCUUCUGGCUGUUUUAUCCAUCAGUCCUAUUUUUAAGUCUCUUUCUUACACAUAAAGCUUGUAGAUCCAUGUAGCUGCAGCCAGGCACGAUGAAGUGGCAUACACUGAGGUAGCUACAAUGAUGAGACAAGUGGGGCAGGUCCUACUGCACAUCACUUGCACUCCCAUUAGAACCCUUCAUUGCUGUCAUGUCUCAGACACGUAGAGCUACUCUGUGCUGACUGAAGUGCCUUGAGCGCAUCAUAGGCUAUAUCUGCAUUUUCAUGGAAUUGUAACAUGACUCGAGUCCCAGAAUGCAGCAAACUUCACAUUCAAGUGAAAAAUGAGUUGCUUGCUCGUAGUUCUGCACCAUCUACAUUCAGUGAUGCCACUCACUGCAUGAGGCAGUAGAGCAGUGGGUGGACAACUUUUAUUCCCUGUGAAGUAAAAGUAAUCCGUAAGGAUUUGUGUGCUGGCAGUGGGACCCUCCUGGGCCUCCACCCCAGAAAUGUCUGAGGGCAGUGGAAUUUCCAAGAGGGUCUUCUGCCCAGAGCUUAACACCCAUGAAAUUUAUAGGGAAGGAGGUGGUAUUUCAGAUAUUUGGGGCUUGAGUCAUUUAUGGCUUUAAACAUUACCAUGGUCAAUUUGAAUUAGGCCUAGAAACAAACUGAUUAACAAUGCAGCUUUUUUGAAAUAGGGUUUAUGUGAGAUCUCAGUGGAACCCCAGCCAGUAUUCUGACUGCUGUAUUUUGGACUACUUGACAUUUCUGAUCAUAGGAUUGUAGAGUUUGAUCAUAGAGCUGGAAGGGACCCAAGAGUUGUGUAGUCCAACCCUCUACUUAAAAACCUCCAGGGAAGGAGAGUACACAACCUCCCAAGGGAGACUCUUCCACUGUAGAACAGUUCUCACUAUAGGGAGUCACCUACCACCACCACAUGUCUAUUCCUCCUCUGGGGAGUGACAGGAAUUGUUCUAUGCACUGUGCCUUCCAAAGCCUGCUUGGAGUGCUCUUAAGUUCUGCACCACCUGCUUUUUCCUUCCCCUCUUGUCUAUUGGAGCUUAUUUGGGUGUUGUUGGGAUAGUUUACAAAGGCAGGAACCUUAUGGUUUGAGUACAGUGGUACCUCUGGUUACGUACUUAAUUCGUUCCGGAGGUCUGUUCUUAACCUGAAACUGUUCUUAACCUGAAGCACCACUUUAGCUUAUGGGGGGCCUCCCGCUGCUGCCGCACGAUUUCUUUUCUCAUCCUGAAGCAAAGUUCUUAACCCGAGGUACUAUUUCUGGGUUAGCGGAGUCUAUAACCUGAAGUUUAUGUAACCCGAGGUACCACUGCACUUCCUACUCCUUCCUCUCAGCUGGCCAUCUCCAGGCUCUACUUCCCUUUCUCCAAUCUCUCCAUGGAAGGUAACAAGUGGGUUAUUGGCAUACACAUCCACGAUCAGUAGCCUUGGAUCUGAAGGGGUUAGGUUAAGAAUGGAAAAUGACAUGGUCUUCAAUGUGGCUUACCAUCUUCACAGUGUAUAGGAUUACUGGCUUAGAAAUAAAUCCUAAAUUAAAAAAAAAACUUAUGGUAAGAAAUGUAAUUUAAUCCUUGUGUUUUGGGGGGAAAUCCAGAUGUGUAGAUUCUUAAUUGUGAUGAAUUACACUUUUUAAAAACACCAGGCUGUUCAUAUUCCAUUUUCAGAUUUGCAGGCAUAUGAACUUUCUUUCCAAAUUACCUAUUGGCAGGCAACUAUUUCUUUCAUCUCAUGACAUUAAUAUGCUUGUGCAGGUUUCCCUGCAGCUGUGUAUCUUUAUUCCAAGGUAUUUUAAAGAUAAACACAUCAUUUGAAGAAGUAAAAAAGCACAUUAUUUGAAGGACUGUAGAUUUUAUUUGUCAGAAAUAUGUUAGCUAGCUAUUAGCAAAACAACAAUAGCAUUGAAAGAAAUAUGCUUCCAUCAUAGGUCCCCCCCCAUUGGUUCAUUUUUCAUUAUCUUGUACCUGUGAUAUAAGCAUAAGCUAUACCUAUGCUUAAAAAGGUAAGGAAAAACUAAAAAGCAAUUAUUUCCACCAUAAAUUUCAUCCAUGUAGCUAAAGGAGAAGAUUCUGUUGGUAGCAACCUGCCCCAACAAGCUGUCCUGUUCUCCAGUGAUUACUGUUUCUUCAUUAUUUAUGUCAUUCGAAGGUCAGGGGUGGUUUACAACAUACUUUUAAAAGUAUUCAGAGUAUCUCUGUUUAGAGGAUAUUGCAGUAGCAGCCUAAUCUUAAAGCUAUGAAUGAUGACUGCUAAGCAUGCGGGGUGGGGGGGCUGGAAUGAUCAGGUGGGACACAAAUAAUGACAACACCAACAAAAUUUGAACUGGGCAUCUUCAAAA
This is a non-coding RNA of Podarcis lilfordi (Lilford's wall lizard), 2502 nucleotides long. NCBI's taxonomy places the organism in Eukaryota, Metazoa, Chordata, Lepidosauria, Squamata, Lacertidae. The record is from the annotation of a GenBank genome assembly.